CCUACGGGAGGCAGCAGUCGAGAAUCAUUCACAAUGGGGGAAACCCUGAUGGUGCGACGCCGCGUGGGGGAAUGAAGGUCUUCGGAUUGUAAACCCCUGUCAUGUGGGAGCAAAUUAAAAAGAUCGUACCACAAGAGGAAGAGACGGCUAACUCUGUGCCAGCAGCCGCGGUAAUACAGAGGUCUCAAGCGUUGUUCGGAAUCACUGGGCGUAAAGCGUGCGUAGGCUGUUUCGUAAGUCGUGUGUGAAAGGCGCGGGCUCAACCCGCGGACGGCACAUGAUACUGCGAGACUAGAGUAAGGGAGGGGGAACCGGAAUUCUCGGUGUAGCAGUGAAAUACGUAGAUAUCGAGAGGAACACUCGUGGCGAAGGCGGGUUCCUGGACAUUAACUGACGCUGAGGCACGAAGGCCAGGGGAGCGAAAGGGAUUAGAUACCCGGGUAGUC
Molecule: ribosomal RNA, 446 nt
Filed under: uncultured bacterium
Lineage: Bacteria
Description: partial 16S ribosomal RNA
Rfam family: Bacterial small subunit ribosomal RNA
Source: RNAcentral